GUGGGGAAUUUUGGACAAUGGGCGCAAGCCUGAUCCAGCCAUUCCGCGUGCAGGAUGAAGGCCUUCGGGUUGUAAACUGCUUUUGUACGGAACGAAAAGCCUCUGGUUAAUACCCGGGGGUCAUGACGGUACCGUAAGAAUAAGCACCGGCUAACUACGUGCCAGCAGCCGCGGUAAUACGUAGGGUGCGAGCGUUAAUCGGAAUUACUGGGCGUAAAGCGUGCGAAGGCGGUGAUGUAAGACAGUUGUGAAAUCCCCGGGCUCAACCUGGGAACUGCAUCUGUGACUGCAUUGCUGGAGUGCGGCAGAGGGGGAUGGAAUUCCGCGUGUAGCAGUGAAAUGCGUAGAUAUGCGGAGGAACACCGAUGGCGAAGGCAAUCCCCUGGGCCUGCACUGACGCUCAUGCACGAAAGCGUGGGGAGCAAACAGGAUUAGAUACCCGAGUAGUCC
This 450-nucleotide ribosomal RNA is filed under the name uncultured bacterium. RNAcentral's name for it is "partial 16S ribosomal RNA". It matches the Rfam family "Bacterial small subunit ribosomal RNA", at positions 354 to 796 of the family's 1533-position model. The record is from RNAcentral.